Molecule: ribosomal RNA, 485 nt
Filed under: uncultured bacterium
Lineage: Bacteria
Description: bacterial SSU rRNA
Rfam family: Bacterial small subunit ribosomal RNA
Source: RNAcentral
GAUGAACGCUAGCGGCAGGCUUAACACAUGCAAGUCGAACGGCAGCGCGGGUAGCAAUACCUGGCGGCGAGUGGCAAACGGGUGCGGAACACGUACGCAACAUACCCUUGUCUGGGGCAUAGCCUUCUGAAAAGGAGAUUAACACCCCAUAAGAUAAUAGAGUGGCAUCACUUAGUUAUUAAAAUUUAUUGGACAGGGAUUGGCGUGCGUCCUAUUAGCUAGUUGGUAGGGAACGGCCUACCAAGGCGACGAUAGGUAGCUGGUGUGAGAGCACGACCAGCCACACGGGCACUGAGACACGGGCCCGACUCCUACGGGAGGCAGCAGUGAGGAAUAUUGGUCAAUGGACGCAAGUCUGAACCAGCCAUGCCGCGUGAAGGAUGAAGGCGUUCUGCGUUGUAAACUUCUUUUACCAGGGAAGUAAACCUUCUUUUUCUAAGGAAGCCGACGGUACCUGAGGAAUAAGCACCGGCUAACUCCGUGCC